AUAAUCAGCCAACUGCAAAUCAAUCGUUGCCUAAACCAACCGUAGUAAACAAUACAUGCGCACUGAAAUAUAACCUGGGCUGGCCUUGGUUCUGAAACGGCGGCUCACAGAACCGCAGUGGUGCUUGCCUUCCUGCGCUGAACACCCGUGCAGGUGCCGACUUAAAGCAGCACACCGAGUCUCAAGGCUCAGUAAGGUGAAUAACGGCACUCCGGUGCCGGUUGGAUAUUUUACGUGACUCAUUGCUUCAGGGUUUGGUAAAAUGUGUGAGUCCGUGUGCCAUUCCCUCAGGUUGUUGGUGUGCUCAUGAUGUAGGCCGGUGGUAAUCCUGUUGGAGAAAAGAAAGCAAAACAGCCAAAUUCAAAGGAAAGAGGCUUCCAUAAUUCAUGUGCCCCUUAGUGUCUACUGGGCAAGAUGAGUACAGACAGACCCAAACGGAAUAUCAUCAAGAAGAAAUAUGACAUCAGUGAUGGGAUGCCAUGGUGUGAAGAACGUCUGGUCCGGAAAGUUCUUUUCCUGUCCCUCAGGGAAUUCAGAGACACACACCGCACCACACACAAUCACUCACACAUUCACACACGCACACGCACACACACACACAAACGCGUGUCAAAAAAUACACUUUUACUGCAAAAGACGCAGACACUACCUAACACGCACACACAAAAAAACAUACGGACAAGACAGAGUGUGCACACGUCACAACAAAAAGUCACACACAGACCACAGAAUGUACACACACGAAAAAACACACACCGUGCACAAACUAUGCACAUGUCCAAACACCUACGCCCUCAUGAACACAACAACAAAGGACAAAAAACAAACUUGUCUCAGGACUCGCACACACCAAAAAAUAAAUGUACUCACACAAUACAGAACAUGCAAGUAAAAUCAAAAAUGUGUACAGGGAAAAUUACACAAACUGUACAGCACACACGCCUACAAGAAAAUACACACAUAUUCCUGAAGAAGUCUGUAUCAACCAGAACACUACGCUCACAUAAAUCACAAAAUAGACUGUCGCUGCUGAACUCGAAAUAUAUAGAAACUGCAAAACACAUGCAUAGUACUCAAAACAAACACUCAGUGAGAAACACACAGACACUGCUGAGCACUCCUGUUCCGUCCAGGACACUGAGGUCACACACUCCCACAAGCCUCAGUGGUCAGUACCAUCAAUACUCCUCUUCUGUUAGUAAUUCAGUAGUUCUGCCGCUACUGUAGAAGUUCCUUCUAAAGAUAAUUCCAGUUAGUUACCUGCUCUUAUUUUCAUUUUUUUUUUUUUAGAAAUCAGUAAUCACAGCCUUGUACUCACUAAGUUUGAGAUAUGGGAAAAUCGUGGCAUAACUGAAAAGAGUCUGAUGUCACAUAAAACAUGAUGUGUCAGAUAGGUUGGAAAGAAGGCAACGGUUUAUCCAAACUAUUCAAACCACUUUACUUGAAGGUCAAACAGAAAGUGAACAUACUUGUAAUUUCACUAAGAAUCCCUCAUUGCACAGGAACACAAUUGUGCAUACAACUACAUUAAGUAAAUUCUGUCAAAGUUAAGUCAGGAAGUGAGUCUGUAAGCUGUGAUUGAGGUUUACAAUGUAAUUGGUUUAUUUGAAGUGUCCAUGAAAUGAGGCUUUGAUCUUCGCUUAGCUGUUAACACCAGCUCAUCUUUCCUGUCAUUAUUUCUAGAAUGUCAUUUGCUGUUUUUGUUAUAGUUUUAUCCAUGCAGAUAUACAUUGACAAUUGUAUGUGUAGAUCAUUUUUCAAAGUACUAAAAUAGUUUCAUGUAAGUAACUCACAUUUCAACUGUUCUGUGGCUCCAGGCUCCCUGGUUAAUGGCAUCAACCGGUGUCAGUCCCUCCUAUCAGCUGGUCCAAGCUGGAGCUGGCACUCACGAACACACCCUCAACAGUGCCGCCCUGCUAGCAUCCAUCAUGACAAGGAUGACCCUGCCACCAAGAGACCAAGGCUGCAAGCACAGAGGAAGUUUGCCCAGUCCCCUCCAAGCUCUCCAGGACCACCAGUGUCGAUGACUUCAGCACGAAGUAACCACACCCACAACCUGGCUGUAGUCACCUGUCUGACUAGACGUCGACCCAAGACUGAGGACUUCUUGUCUUUCCUCUGUUUGAGAGGUAAGCUGAUUUACUAAAUGGAUUUAACCUCUACUCAAUAAUUUUAUAACAAAAGUGACAAAUGUAAGCAUAUUAGAGAAAAAAGAAGUCCUGUU
Long non-coding RNA from Morone saxatilis (striped sea-bass), 2224 nucleotides. RefSeq lists it as uncharacterized. The transcript is spliced from 4 exons. The record is from RefSeq and is a predicted model, not a curated record. NCBI's taxonomy places the organism in Eukaryota, Metazoa, Chordata, Actinopteri, Moronidae.